RNAcentral lists this ribosomal RNA (312 nucleotides) under Triticum aestivum (bread wheat). Its description in RNAcentral is "partial small subunit ribosomal RNA". Lineage: Eukaryota; Viridiplantae; Streptophyta; Magnoliopsida; Poales; Poaceae. The record is from RNAcentral.
AUGUGUGUACCCGGCGCUGCCGAACUCGUAGAGCUUGCCGCGGCUGGAGAAGAUGAUGAGCGCCACCUCGGCGUCGCAGAGCACGGAGAGCUCGUAGGCCUUCUUGAGCAGGCCGUUGCGGCGCUUGGAGAAGGUGACCUGCCGAUUGAUCUUGUUCUCGAUGCGCUUCAGCUCGACCCUUCCCCUCCCCAUGAUCUCCUCCUCCUCCUCCUCCUUCCAAGCAAGCAAGCAAGCAAAGCUCUACCGAUCAGCAAGCUAGCUCUGCGCUCUUCCUCCUGCGGCGGUUCUGAUGCGCAACCUACUAGCGCAUAG